Long non-coding RNA from Equus caballus (horse), 976 nucleotides. RefSeq lists it as uncharacterized. Lineage: Eukaryota; Metazoa; Chordata; Mammalia; Perissodactyla; Equidae. The record is from RefSeq and is a predicted model, not a curated record.
UUCAUUUGGCAGCCAGUACUACCUAAUUACUUUGACUAUCAGCGCACCAGCCUCAAAUACAUUUCCAAUGUCCAAUGUCAUGAACUGAAAAGGGGCUUAUCACACAAGGGAAAAUUCUGUUGCUUACCAAUGAGGAGGCACCUUGAGCACCAACAGAAGCUACACUGAGUCUAGACUGUGGAAAAUAAGACUCUCAUAUGUGAAUAAUCAGAUGAUAAUCUGGAGACUGAAAGAGCCAGAGGUACUGAAGGGACGAUCCUGGCACAUCUUGGUCCAAGUGCUGCUGGUAACUGUCCUCCUAGGAGGCCAGGGAGGGCCGUUUCCCAGUGUCCUGCAGCUUCUCUUUCUCAUGAUUGAUGAAAUGCCUGAGGGUGCAGUGCAUGUGCCUGGGUCCCGCUGCCCCAAUAGUGUCAGAACUGAAAAGGAUGGAAGCACUUCCCAGUCUCUUUGGGAAGAAGGGCUGGAAUAUCCAAUAAGGCUGCCAACCUGUGGGAAUGUACUCUUCCCCGCUGUGGGCAGUUUCCCCACGACAACAGAUACGGUGCCUGUCUCCAGCCAACUGAAUCCAUUCCACAGUUGAUGAGCACUUGGGUUGUACCCAUGUUUUACUGUUAUGACAGACGCUGCUGAAAACAUUAUUACACACGUCUCCGGGUGUUUAUGUGCAAGACAGGGAAUUUGCUAGGUCAUGGGGGAAAAUUCCAUUUCAUUAAUCUAAAUGGGAACUUUCCAAAUAGAAAAAGAAAACACUUAUCCAGAAAAAGAGGAAGACGCUAAGCCAGAAGCAGCAGGAGCCGUGCCAGGAGAGCAUCACGGGUCAGAUACCAAAGAGAGUCCACCUUCACCAGAACCAAGCGCGGGGCCCCGUCCUUUCAUCUGUUACAACCACAGGAGCGGAAACACAUUCCAGCCCUUCGUACAUAAUGUAUCAUUCUAUCACCCAUCUUGAAGAUUAAAAUGAUUCAGUUCUGUGAAA